Molecule: ribosomal RNA, 926 nt
Filed under: uncultured Lactobacillus sp.
Lineage: Bacteria; Bacillati; Bacillota; Bacilli; Lactobacillales; Lactobacillaceae
Description: bacterial SSU rRNA
Rfam family: Bacterial small subunit ribosomal RNA
Source: RNAcentral
UGCAAGUCGAGCGAGCUUGCCUAUAGAAAUUCUUCGGAAUGGACAUAGAUACAAGCUAGCGGCGGAUGGGUGAGUAACGCGUGGGUAACCUGCCCUUAAGUCUGGGAUACCAUUUGGAAACAGAUGCUAAUACCGGAUAAAAGCUACUUUCGCAUGAAAGAAGUUUAAAAGGCGGCGUAAGCUGUCGCUAAAGGAUGGACCUGCGAUGCAUUAGCUAGUUGGUAAGGUAACGGCUUACCAAGGCGAUGAUGCAUAGCCGAGUUGAGAGACUGAUCGGCCACAUUGGGACUGAGACACGGCCCAAACUCCUACGGGAGGCAGCAGUAGGGAAUCUUCCACAAUGGACGAAAGUCUGAUGGAGCAACGCCGCGUGAGUGAAGAAGGUUUUCGGAUCGUAAAGCUCUGUUGUUGGUGAAGAAGGAUAGAGGUAGUAACUGGCCUUUAUUUGACGGUAAUCAACCAGAAAGUCACGGCUAACUACGUGCCAGCAGCCGCGGUAAUACGUAGGUGGCAAGCGUUGUCCGGAUUUAUUGGGCGUAAAGCGAGCGCAGGCGGAUUGAUAAGUCUGAUGUGAAAGCCUUCGGCUCAACCGAAGAACUGCAUCAGAAACUGUCAAUCUUGAGUGCAGAAGAGGAGAGUGGAACUCCAUGUGUAGCGGUGGAAUGCGUAGAUAUAUGGAAGAACACCAGUGGCGAAGGCGGCUCUCUGGUCUGUAACUGACGCUGAGGCUCGAAAGCAUGGGUAGCGAACAGGAUUAGAUACCCUGGUAGUCCAUGCCGUAAACGAUGAGUGCUAAGUGUUGGGAGGUUUCCGCCUCUCAGUGCUGCAGCUAACGCAUUAGCACUCCGCCUGGGGAGUACGACCGCAAGGUUGAAACUCAAAGGAAUUGACGGGGCCCGCACAAGCGGUGGAGCAUGUGGUUUAUU